RNAcentral lists this unclassified non-coding RNA (246 nucleotides) under Chalara sp. Its description in RNAcentral is "partial internal transcribed spacer region". The stretch from base 1 to 46 matches the Rfam family "Eukaryotic small subunit ribosomal RNA", at positions 1786 to 1831 of the family's 1831-position model. Lineage: Eukaryota; Fungi; Ascomycota; Leotiomycetes; Helotiales. The record is from RNAcentral.
AAGUCGUAACAAGGUUUCCGUAGGUGAACCUGCGGAAGGAUCAUUACCGAAGUCAAGGCCCCUUCGGGGGCUAAACUUCCACCCUUUGUUUACCUUACCAUUGUUGCUUUGGCGGGCCGCCUUAGGCCACCGGCUCUCGAGCUGGUGCGUGCCCGCCAGAGACCCCCAAACCCAAAGCAUAUUUAGUGUCGUCUGAAAACAAGUUUAAAUUAUUUAAAACUUUCAACAACGGAUCUCUUGGCUCUG